Molecule: small nucleolar RNA, 30 nt
Filed under: Leishmania donovani
Lineage: Eukaryota; Euglenozoa; Kinetoplastea; Trypanosomatida; Trypanosomatidae
Source: RNAcentral
CGCAGAGUGCCGCUGCUGCUCUCUGAAGAG